GGUUAAGCGACUAAGCGUACACGGUGGAUGCCCUGGCAGUCAGAGGCGAUGAAGGACGUGCUAAUCUGCGAUAAGCGUCGGUAAGGUGAUAUGAACCGUUAUAACCGGCGAUUUCCGAAUGGGGAAACCCAGUGUGUUUCGACACACUAUCAUUAACUGAAUCCAUAGGUUAAUGAGGCGAACCGGGGGAACUGAAACAUCUAAGUACCCCGAGGAAAAGAAAUCAACCGAGAUUCCCCCAGUAGCGGCGAGCGAACGGGGAGCAGCCCAGAGCCUGAAUCAGUGUGUGUGUUAGUGGAAGCGUCUGGAAAGGCGCGCGAUACAGGGUGACAGCCCCGUACACAAAAAUGCACAUACUGUGAGCUCGAUGAGUAGGGCGGGACACGUGGUAUCCUGUCUGAAUAUGGGGGGACCAUCCUCCAAGGCUAAAUACUCCUGACUGACCGAUAGUGAACCAGUACCGUGAGGGAAAGGCGAAAAGAACCCCGGCGAGGGGAGUGAAAAAGAACCUGAAACCGUGUACGUACAAGCAGUGGGAGCCUCUUUAUGGGGUGACUGCGUACCUUUUGUAUAAUGGGUCAGCGACUUAUAUUCUGUAGCAAGGUUAACCGAAUAGGGGAGCCGAAGGGAAACCGAGUCUUAACUGGGCGUUAAGUUGCAGGGUAUAGACCCGAAACCCGGUGAUCUAGCCAUGGGCAGGUUGAAGGUUGGGUAACACUAACUGGAGGACCGAACCGACUAAUGUUGAAAAAUUAGCGGAUGACUUGUGGCUGGGGGUGAAAGGCCAAUCAAACCGGGAGAUAGCUGGUUCUCCCCGAAAGCUAUUUAGGUAGCGCCUCGUGAAUUCAUCUCCGGGGGUAGAGCACUGUUUCGGCAAGGGGGUCAUCCCGACUUACCAACCCGAUGCAAACUGCGAAUACCGGAGAAUGUUAUCACGGGAGACACACGGCGGGUGCUAACGUCCGUCGUGAAGAGGGAAACAACCCAGACCGCCAGCUAAGGUCCCAAAGUCAUGGUUAAGUGGGAAACGAUGUGGGAAGGCCCAGACAGCCAGGAUGUUGGCUUAGAAGCAGCCAUCAUUUAAAGAAAGCGUAAUAGCUCACUGGUCGAGUCGGCCUGCGCGGAAGAUGUAACGGGGCUAAACCAUGCACCGAAGCUGCGGCAGCGACACUAUGUGUUGUUGGGUAGGGGAGCGUUCUGUAAGCCUGCGAAGGUGUACUGUGAGGUAUGCUGGAGGUAUCAGAAGUGCGAAUGCUGACAUAAGUAACGAUAAAGCGGGUGAAAAGCCCGCUCGCCGGAAGACCAAGGGUUCCUGUCCAACGUUAAUCGGGGCAGGGUGAGUCGACCCCUAAGGCGAGGCCGAAAGGCGUAGUCGAUGGGAAACAGGUUAAUAUUCCUGUACUUGGUGUUACUGCGAAGGGGGGACGGAGAAGGCUAUGUUGGCCGGGCGACGGUUGUCCCGGUUUAAGCGUGUAGGCUGGUUUUCCAGGCAAAUCCGGAAAAUCAAGGCUGAGGCGUGAUGACGAGGCACUACGGUGCUGAAGCAACAAAUGCCCUGCUUCCAGGAAAAGCCUCUAAGCAUCAGGUAACAUCAAAUCGUACCCCAAACCGACACAGGUGGUCAGGUAGAGAAUACCAAGGCGCUUGAGAGAACUCGGGUGAAGGAACUAGGCAAAAUGGUGCCGUAACUUCGGGAGAAGGCACGCUGAUAUGUAGGUGAAGCGACUUGCUCGUGGAGCUGAAAUCAGUCGAAGAUACCAGCUGGCUGCAACUGUUUAUUAAAAACACAGCACUGUGCAAACACGAAAGUGGACGUAUACGGUGUGACGCCUGCCCGGUGCCGGAAGGUUAAUUGAUGGGGUUAGCGGUAACGCGAAGCUCUUGAUCGAAGCCCCGGUAAACGGCGGCCGUAACUAUAACGGUCCUAAGGUAGCGAAAUUCCUUGUCGGGUAAGUUCCGACCUGCACGAAUGGCGUAAUGAUGGCCAGGCUGUCUCCACCCGAGACUCAGUGAAAUUGAACUCGCUGUGAAGAUGCAGUGUACCCGCGGCAAGACGGAAAGACCCCGUGAACCUUUACUAUAGCUUGACACUGAACAUUGAGCCUUGAUGUGUAGGAUAGGUGGGAGGCUUUGAAGUGUGGACGCCAGUCUGCAUGGAGCCGACCUUGAAAUACCACCCUUUAAUGUUUGAUGUUCUAACGUUGGCCCCUGAUCGGGGUUGCGGACAGUGUCUGGUGGGUAGUUUGACUGGGGCGGUCUCCUCCUAAAGAGUAACGGAGGAGCACGAAGGUUGGCUAAUCCUGGUCGGACAUCAGGAGGUUAGUGCAAUGGCAUAAGCCAGCUUGACUGCGAGCGUGACGGCGCGAGCAGGUGCGAAAGCAGGUCAUAGUGAUCCGGUGGUUCUGAAUGGAAGGGCCAUCGCUCAACGGAUAAAAGGUACUCCGGGGAUAACAGGCUGAUACCGCCCAAGAGUUCAUAUCGACGGCGGUGUUUGGCACCUCGAUGUCGGCUCAUCACAUCCUGGGGCUGAAGUAGGUCCCAAGGGUAUGGCUGUUCGCCAUUUAAAGUGGUACGCGAGCUGGGUUUAGAACGUCGUGAGACAGUUCGGUCCCUAUCUGCCGUGGGCGCUGGAGAACUGAGGGGGGCUGCUCCUAGUACGAGAGGACCGGAGUGGACGCAUCACUGGUGUUCGGGUUGUCAUGCCAAUGGCACUGCCCGGUAGCUAAAUGCGGAAGAGAUAAGUGCUGAAAGCAUCUAAGCACGAAACUUGCCCCGAGAUGAGUUCUCCCUGACUCCUUGAGAGUCCUGAAGGAACGUUGAAGACGACGACGUUGAUAGGCCGGGUGUGUAAGCGCAGCGAUGCGUUGAGCUAACCGGUACUAAUGAACCGUGAGGCUUAACCUU
Molecule: ribosomal RNA, 2904 nt
Filed under: Escherichia coli
Lineage: Bacteria; Pseudomonadati; Pseudomonadota; Gammaproteobacteria; Enterobacterales; Enterobacteriaceae
Also listed under: 1 other name
Description: 23S ribosomal RNA
Rfam family: Bacterial large subunit ribosomal RNA
Source: RNAcentral